AUUGAACGCUGGCGGCAUGCCUUACACAUGCAAGUCGAACGGCAGCACGGGUGCUUGCACCUGGUGGCGAGUGGCGAACGGGUGAGUAAUACAUCGGAACGUACCUUCUCGUGGGGGAGAACGCAGCGAAAGCUGUGCUAAUACCGCAUACGCCCUGAGGGGGAAAGCGGGGGAACGAAAGACCUCGCGCGAUUAGAGCGGCCGAUGCCUGCUUAGCUUGUUGGUGGGGUAAACGCCCACAAAGGCGACGAUCAGUAGCUGGUCUGAGAGGACGAUACGCCAGCCUGGGACUGAGACACGGCCUAGACUCCUACGGGAGGCAGCAGUGGGGAAUUUUGGAGAAUGGGGGCAACCCUGAUCCAGCAAUGCCCCGGGAGUGAAGAAGGCCUUCGGGUUGUAAAGCUCUUUUGUCCGGGAAGAAACACCGGCUCUAACACAGUCCGGGAUGACGGUACCUGAAGAAUAAGCACCGGCUAACUACGUGCCAGCAGCCGCCGUAA
Molecule: ribosomal RNA, 500 nt
Filed under: uncultured bacterium
Lineage: Bacteria
Description: partial 16S ribosomal RNA
Rfam family: Bacterial small subunit ribosomal RNA
Source: RNAcentral